This 446-nucleotide ribosomal RNA is filed under the name uncultured bacterium. RNAcentral describes it as "partial 16S ribosomal RNA". It matches the Rfam family "Bacterial small subunit ribosomal RNA", at positions 338 to 795 of the family's 1533-position model. The record is from RNAcentral.
CCUACGGGUGACAGCAGUCGAGAAUCAUUCACAAUGGGGGAAACCCUGAUGGUGCGACGCCGCGUGGGGGAAUGAAGGUCUUCGGAUUGUAAACCCCUGUCAUGUGGGAGCAAAUUAAAAAGAUAGUACCACAAGAGGAAGAGACGGCUAACUCUGUGCCAGCAGCCGCGGUACUACAGAGGUCUCAAGCGUUGGUCGGAAUCACUGGGCGUAAAGCGUGCGUAGGCUGUUUCGUAAGUCGUGUGUGAAAGGCGCGGGCUCAACCCGCGGACGGCACAUGAUACUGCGAGACUAGAGUAAUGGAGGGGGAACCGGAAUUCUCGGUGUAGCAGUGAAAUGCGUAGAUAUCGGGAGGAACACUCGUGGCGAAGGCGGGUUCCUGGACAUUAACUGACGCUGAGGCACGAAGGCCAGGGGAGCGAAAGGGAUUAGAUACCCCAGUAGUC